GUCUGGUGCCAGCAGCCGCGGUAAUUCCAGCUCCAAUAGCGUAUAUUAAAGUUGUUGCAGUUAAAAAGCUCGUAGUUGAUUUUCUGUUAAUUUUUAUGUAUAAUAUUGCGAUAUUUACAUAAUAUUAACAUAAUUCACAUUACUUUACRGUAUGUGGAAUUUUACUUUGAGAAAAUUAGAGUGCUUAAAGCAGGCUAUUGCCUUGAAUACUCCAGCAUGGAAUAAUAUUAAGGAUUUUUAUUCUUCUUAUUGGUUCUAGAAUAAAAAUAAUGAUUAAUAGGAACAGUUGGGGGCAUUUGUAUUUAACAGUUAGAGGUGAAAUUCUUAGAUUUGUUAAAGACAAACUACUGCGAAAGCAUUUGCCAAGGAUGUUUUCAUUAAUCAAGAACGAAAGUUAGGGGAUCGAAGACGAUCAGAUACCGUCGUAGUCUUAACCAUAAACUAUGCCAACUAGAGAUUGGAGGUUGUUCCUUACUCCU
Molecule: ribosomal RNA, 479 nt
Filed under: Cryptosporidium scrofarum
Lineage: Eukaryota; Apicomplexa; Conoidasida; Eucoccidiorida; Cryptosporidiidae
Description: SSU rRNA
Source: RNAcentral